RNAcentral lists this ribosomal RNA (385 nucleotides) under uncultured bacterium. RNAcentral's name for it is "bacterial SSU rRNA". It matches the Rfam family "Bacterial small subunit ribosomal RNA", at positions 29 to 416 of the family's 1533-position model. The record is from RNAcentral.
AGCGAACGUUUGCGGCGGGCCUAACACAUGCAAGUCGAACGGGCUACUUCGGUAGUCAGUGGCGCACGGGUGCGUAACACGUGGGUAAUCAACCCUCUAGACUGGGAUAACCCGGGGAAACUCGAGCUAAUACCAGAUGUGUCGCCCUGAUCCUCGGAUCGGGUCGAGAAAAGGUCGCAAGGCCUGUUAGAGGACGAGCCCGCGGCCCAUCAGCUUGUUGGUGAGGUAAUGGCUCACCAAGGCUAAGACGGGUAGCUGGUCUGAGAGGAUGGCCAGCCACACUGGAACUGAGACACGGUCCAGACUCCUACGGGAGGCAGCAGUGGGGAAUAUUGCGCAAUGGGCGAAAGCCUGACGCAGCCACGCCGCGUGAGCGAUGAAGGCC